CGGGGUGUGGCGCAGUCCGGUUAGCGCACCGCGUUUGGGACGCGGGGGCCGCAGGUUCGAAUCCUGCCACCCCGA
This 75-nucleotide transfer RNA is filed under the name Membranihabitans marinus. It matches the Rfam family "tRNA". From Rfam's summary of the family: Transfer RNA (tRNA) molecules are approximately 80 nucleotides in length. Their secondary structure includes four short double-helical elements and three loops (D, anti-codon, and T loops). The record is from Rfam by way of RNAcentral. Lineage: Bacteria; Pseudomonadati; Bacteroidota; Saprospiria; Saprospirales; Saprospiraceae.